UUGCUGAACAAUAUUGCUGUUUACAGUUUAUCUCUAUCUAUAAUAAUAUUCAAGAUAAUAACCAAAAACAGCAAAAUUUCAUUAAAAUUACUUAUUCUGGGGCAGCAACUCAAAACCGAGUUGUCCAAUUCAUCUGAAAAUUUCAGGGCAGGUAGAUCUUGACCUGAUAAACAAAUUUACCUCAUGUCAGAUUUACUCUAAAUGCUUUGGUUUUUGAGUUAUAAGCCAAAAACUGCAUUUUACCCAAGGUUCUAUUUUUAGCCAUGGCGGCCAUCUUGAUUGGAUGGCUGGGUCACUGGACACAUUUUUCAAACUACAUACCCCAAAGAUGGUUGUGGCCAAGUUUGGAUUGAUUUGGCCAAGUAGUUUCAGAGGAGAAGAUUUUUGUAAAAGAUUACUAAGAUUUACGAAAAAUGGUUAAAAAUUGACUAUAAAGGGCAAUAACUCCUAAAGGGGUCAACUGACCAUUUUCGGUCAUGUUGACUUAUUUGUAAAUAUUACUUUGCUGAACAUUAUUGCAAUUUACAGUUUAUCUCUAUCUAUAAUAAUAUUCAAGAUAAUAACCAAAAACAGCAAAAUUUCCUUAAAAUUACUAAUUCAGGGGCAGCAACCCAACAACAGGUUAUCCGAUUCAUCUGAAAAUUUCAGGGCAGAUAGAUCUUGACCUGUUACACAAGUUUACCCCAUGUCAGAUUUGCUCUAAAUGCUUUGGUUUUUGAGUUAUAAGCCAAAAACUGCAUUUUACCCCUAUGUUCUAUUUUCAGC
This 765-nucleotide long non-coding RNA is filed under the name Mytilus galloprovincialis (Mediterranean mussel). The record is from RNAcentral. Lineage: Eukaryota; Metazoa; Mollusca; Bivalvia; Mytilida; Mytilidae.